AAGUCGUAACAAGGUUUCCGUAGGUGAACCUGCGGUUGGAUCAUUACAAAAAGUAUAUACCUUAAACUGGGGAGCGUUAUUUCUCCUCGCUUUAUUGUAUCCACCACAAAAACAUAAUGUGAAACGUUUCUGUCUCUGGCGAGCGGGCAGUCUAAACAACUGCUUGUCAGCAGGGUGCUCUCUCUCUCUUUUCUGGGAGUGGCGUCCUGCCGUGGACAACUCGUCAACCCCUUCUAUUCAACAUUUGCUGUACCUAAUUUGUCUGACAUAACCUGUAUAAAUAUACAAAACAACUUUUGGCAACGGAUCUCUUGGCUCUC
This 320-nucleotide unclassified non-coding RNA is filed under the name Powellomyces sp. RNAcentral describes it as "partial internal transcribed spacer region". The stretch from base 1 to 46 matches the Rfam family "Eukaryotic small subunit ribosomal RNA", at positions 1786 to 1831 of the family's 1831-position model. The record is from RNAcentral. Lineage: Eukaryota; Fungi; Chytridiomycota; Chytridiomycetes; Spizellomycetales; Powellomycetaceae.